GUUUUUCAUAAUUUUGCUGUUUCCAUGGUAACGGCGGCCAUUUUGAAUAUUCCAAAGUCAAACCCCCGCUGCAAUUUUUUCCCUCCAUAAUGUCCUAUCAUUUAAUGUCUCUAGAAUAAAUUUAACAUUGAUGUUCUGGAAUGUUCUGUGAAAAUUCAAAGUUUUGACCUUUUUGCAUUGUUUCCAUGGUAACAACAGAUAUUUUGGAAAUUCCAACGCCAAAUUCCACAUCUUCCAAUGUUGCUCAUCGUUACUGUGAAGUUUCAUUAAGUUUGGAGCAUUUUGAUAUUUUUGAAAUUUUUGGUGUAGUUUCCAUGGCAACAUAGUAGUUCCAAUGAGUACCAAAAUCAUCCAACACCUGUAUAUAGUGGGCACCUACAUUGUAUUAAAAUAUAAUGAUUCUGAGUUAAAGCAUAUCCAAACAGUUCACCAAAACAAAAAACUGGAUUUUUUCACAUUUGUUCUGUUUCCAUGGAAACGGUAGCCAUCUUGAACCAUUCCAUGCUUACUGCAACUCUGCACGUGGGGGUCCUGACUAUAGUAGAGUUCCAUCAACAUUGGUCCAUUGGAUUUCGAGAAAUCACCUGGACAAAAUUUGUUGCAAGAAAAAAAAUAAUAAGAAACUAGAUUUGCGAUUGCAAGCAAUAGCGGAUGGCACCCUUCCCCUAUUGCCAGGUGAGCGGUAGCCAUGGUAACGGCGGCCAUUUUGGAAAUUCCAAACUCAAAAGUCAAGUCUACAUUAGCUUAGCAACAUUUGUUAUAAGUUUCAAUAAAUUUGAAGCAUUUUGAAGUUUUUGUAUUUUUGCUGUUUCCAUGGUAACGGCGGCCAUUUUGAAUAUUCCAAAGUCAAACCCCUGCUGCAAUUUUUUCCCUCCACAACCAUAUACCAUUUAAUGUCUCUAGAAUAAAUUAAACAUUGAUGUUCUAGAAUGUUCUGUGAAAAUUCAAAGUUUUGACCUUUUUUGCAUUGUUUCCAUGGUAACAACAGCGAUUUUGGAAAUUCCAACGCCAAAUUCCACAUCUUCCAAUGUUGCUCAUCGUUACUGUGAAGUUUCAUUAAGUUUGGAACAUUUUGAGAUUUUUGAAAUUUUUGGAGUAGUUUCCAUGGCAACAUAGUAGUUCCAAUGAGUGCCAAAAUCAUCCAACACCUGUAUAUAGUGGGCACCUACAUUGUAUUAAAAUAUAAUGAUUCUGAGUUAAAUAGUAUCCAAAUAGUUCACCAAAACAAAAAACUGGAUUUUUUCACAUUUGUUUCGUUUCCAUGGUAACGGCAGCCAUCUUGACGGUGCCAUACCCCACUGCACUAUAGAAUGUUCUUGUCUACAUUAUGGUAUAGUUCCAUCAAUAUUGUUCAAGCCAAUUCCGAGAAAUAGCAUGGACAAAAAAGUGUGGAAGAAUAAAUAUAAUAAAAAUAAGACAAAAAGAAACGAACAAUAACAAUAUGUCACCCCAACUCCGUUGAGGGUGCCAUAAAAAAAGAAACGUAGAAUAACAAUACGUCACCCCAACUCCGUUGAGGGUGCCAUAACUAGAUUUGCCAUUGCAAGCAAUAGCGGAUGGCACCCUUUCCCCAUUGCCAGGCCAGCGGCAGCCAUUUAGAAAAUUUUUGCUGUUUCCAUGGCAACGGCGGCCAUUUUGAAAAUUCCAAACUCAAAAGUCAAGUCUACACAAGCUAGGCA
RNAcentral lists this long non-coding RNA (1679 nucleotides) under Mytilus galloprovincialis (Mediterranean mussel). The record is from RNAcentral. Lineage: Eukaryota; Metazoa; Mollusca; Bivalvia; Mytilida; Mytilidae.